GCUGGGCACGGUGGUGCAUGCCUGUAAUCCUAGCAGCUCAGGAGGCUGAGACAGAAGGAUCACAAGUUCAAAGCCAGCCUCAGCAACAGUGAGGUGCUAAGUGAGACCCUGUCUCAGUGAGACCCUGUCUCUA
RNAcentral lists this small RNA (133 nucleotides) under Marmota monax (woodchuck). Lineage: Eukaryota; Metazoa; Chordata; Mammalia; Rodentia; Sciuridae. The record is from RNAcentral.